GGGGCUGAUCGGUUUCGACUUGGGACGUUAGUUCCAGGGGAAGCGGGUCGAGAAGCCAACGUCAUCUCGUAAACGAUCGUUGGAAACCUAUAAGUGCCGACUCCAAGCGCACUGACUUCGCUCUCGCUGCCUGAGCAGUGACCGAAGGGUCAGACCGGGCAUCCGCCUUCGUCCCGGACCCUGGCCUCAUCCAGAGGGCUUGCUGAUCAAUUCCUGUCAGGAGGGUUGAUCGGGACUUUUUCCUGACUGGGCCUGUCGGCGACGUGUCUGUGCGAGCGCCGGGGCCGAGUAGGACGAACAGCACAGACUGCACCCGGAGAAGACCUGGUUCGACGCUCGAGGACGCGGGUUCGAUUCCCGCCAGCUCCACUC
RNAcentral lists this transfer-messenger RNA (372 nucleotides) under Nocardioides sp. AE5. It matches the Rfam family "transfer-messenger RNA". Rfam says of the family: Bacterial tmRNA, also known as 10Sa RNA or SsrA, is named for its dual tRNA and mRNA-like properties. Its role is to liberate the mRNA from a stalled ribosome. Lineage: Bacteria; Bacillati; Actinomycetota; Actinomycetes; Propionibacteriales; Nocardioidaceae. The record is from RNAcentral.